UCUAGUUCACUGUUGGUAAAUUUUUUUGGAUGCUGUUUAUGUUUGAACUUUUCUCUGUUUUCCUGUAGAAACUUCCGUACCCUCUUCCUGUGUCCCUACAAAAGGCCUGGACAAUGCAGUCCCAGCACCACCGUAGGACAUGGGCAGGGCCCCACCUUCCUCCUUCCUGCAGGGAUAUCCUUUCCUAUAGAAGGGUAUCCUUGGCGUAGACAUUCAGAGAAUCGAAGUCCUUCACACAGAGUUUCACAUGAAUCAGGACAGCUCACAUUAACACCUGCCUGGGAGCAUAUGUUACAGAUGAGCAAUGCAGAACUCAGGAGAAGUUGGGCAAUUCUGUGCUGACUGCCUCAGAGAAAGGAUGUUACAAUGGAAAACAGCCGGGAAAAGACUCUUCCUGACUUUUGAGUUUCAAAAGCAUAGGCCAUUAGGGAAAUGGAAAAGACCCACAGAAAGGACAAAACAUUUGGCAGCAAUGUCAUGAGUGAGAACAAAAUGCCUCUCCAGCCCUACUCCCUGAGCUUCAAGAAUUGGAGAGAGCCAGAAGGAAGAGAAAAAACUGAUGAAGUCUGGGACAAGAGGGCCAGAUCUGAAGGGGCCGCAUGGACGUGAGCAGAAGCAACAUCUGCAGACCACCCGUAAUCCACUCACAGGACCCUUUGCAUCACCCAUGCCCACGGGCUAGACUGGUUGCCAUCCGGCUGCCACUAAGUUCAUCUGAUAGUCCUCCUGAUAAAACAUCAUGAAGAAGUAUUUUUAUUAUCCUUACCCAAUGGACAAGAAAACGGAAGGACAAAGAAGUGAAGGAAACUGCCCAGAGAUGGGAGCCGUUCUCGUUCCGACCUGCUGAACAAACUUCUGAGGCGCAUAGGGCGAGCACAACUUUUUCCAGAAGAGAAGAGAGAUUAGGAACAAGGGCGAAAAGAGGAUCCGUUUCUGGAAAAUAAUUUCUGCAGAGACUUGGCAAGAGGAACACAGAAGGCUGGUCUCAACAUAACUGAUACUGAAUGAGUGUUUCUUGUUGAGUGUCCAUCCUCAUAGUAGCAGAAGCAGACUCUAUCCUGAGAAUGGAAUUACAAGAGACUUUUUUCCCCCUUUCCAAGAUCCAGGACCUCUGCUUUUCCACAGUAAUUCAAGAACCAGGGGAUUGGAAAUAGAGACAUUUUUGACUUUUAUGAAUUUACGUAGAAAAUUACAUUCUCGGAGCAAUUGGAGUUCCUCCUUCCAGGAUGGAUUUGACCCUCCUGCCCUCCCCCACUGGGAAUUUUCCCUGCGACAGGUUUGCAAAAAAGCACUUGGGGUCUUUUCAACACACGGUGACUGUUCACAAGGCACAAUUGUUUGUCUUCAACUUGGAAUUCCUCUCCACUGAGCCAGGAACAAAAUCAAGGCGACAGAGGCUCUAAAAUUCAGACAGGAAGUUCUGCCCUUUUGACCUGGGAAGCCAAGAGGAAAGUGAGGAGGAAGACGAUAAAGAAAAAGCCCAGGAGGAGGUUCCAUGCAUAGGAUAGAGAAUUCAGGUGGCCCAACUAGGAUCACAUGACCACCCCAGAGGCUGUGAUGUUGGAGUCUUGGGAUUGGUUGCACAGCAGUGCCUCACAUGGAAGAGAGAAGGGCAGAUCCUCAAAGAAAUGGUUCCCAGGCAGACAUCCAUUGCCUUCAACCACGGUGAUCAUUUUUCUUCGAGACCUGUCAGUUGAUAUGGCAAUUCUGCUCCCUAAAGAUAUCUCCAUAAUACCUUAUUUGUCAAUUAUCACUUUUCCUGUCUCCAUGGGCUCCACCUAAGCAGGUCUUACCCACUCAAAAAUCUCACCUGCUCAAAGGAGACAGACAGACUCACUCUGCUAAUGUGAUCUAUGUACUCUGCCUAGCAUAUCCCAGUACAUCUUUUUGUACAUUUGUUUCUUAUUUUUUAGCCCAUGAA
Long non-coding RNA from Mirounga angustirostris (Northern elephant seal), 1921 nucleotides. RefSeq lists it as uncharacterized. The transcript is spliced from 8 exons. The record is from RefSeq and is a predicted model, not a curated record. NCBI's taxonomy places the organism in Eukaryota, Metazoa, Chordata, Mammalia, Carnivora, Phocidae.